AUACGUAGGGAGCAAGCGUUGUCCGGAUUCACUGGGCGUAAAGGGCGCGUAGGCGGCUCGUUAAGUAUGAAGUGAAAUCUCCAGGGCUCAACCCGGAAACUGCUUUGUAAACUGGCAAGCUAGAGGAAGGCAGAGGUGAAUGGAAUUCCUGGUGUAGCGGUGGCAUGCAUUGAUAUCAGGAGGAACACCAGAGGCGAAGGCGGUUCACUGGGCCUUUUCUGACGCUGAGGCGCGAAAGCGUGGGUAGCAAACAGGAUUAGAAACCCCAGUAGUCC
This 275-nucleotide ribosomal RNA is filed under the name uncultured bacterium. RNAcentral's name for it is "partial 16S ribosomal RNA". It matches the Rfam family "Bacterial small subunit ribosomal RNA", at positions 523 to 796 of the family's 1533-position model. The record is from RNAcentral.